This 700-nucleotide ribosomal RNA is filed under the name Promicromonospora sp. ME-844. Its description in RNAcentral is "bacterial SSU rRNA". It matches the Rfam family "Bacterial small subunit ribosomal RNA", at positions 62 to 778 of the family's 1533-position model. The record is from RNAcentral. Lineage: Bacteria; Bacillati; Actinomycetota; Actinomycetes; Micrococcales; Promicromonosporaceae.
UCGAACGGUGAAGCCCUUUCGGGGGUGGAUCAGUGGCGAACGGGUGAGUAACACGUGAGCAACCUGCCCCCUACUUCGGGAUAAGCCUUGGAAACGGGGUCUAAUACCGGAUAUGAGCACCNACCGCAUGGUGGGUGUUGGAAAGUUUUUCGGUGGGGGAUGGGCUCGCGGCCUAUCAGCUUGUUGGUGGGGUAAUGGCCUACCAAGGCGUCGACGGGUAGCCGGCCUGAGAGGGCGACCGGCCACACUGGGACUGAGACACGGCCCAGACUCCUACGGGAGGCAGCAGUGGGGAAUAUUGCACAAUGGGCGAAAGCCUGAUGCAGCGACGCCACGUGAGGGAUGACGGCCUUCGGGUUGUAAACCUCUUUCAGCAGGGAAGAAGCGCAAGUGACGGUACCUGCAGAAGAAGCGCCGGCUAACUACGUGCCAGCAGCCGCGGUAAUACGUAGGGCGCAAGCGUUGUCCGGAAUUAUUGGGCGUAAAGAGCUCGUAGGCGGUCUGUCGCGUCUGGUGUGAAAUCCCAUGGCUCAACUGUGGGCUUGCAUCGGGUACGGGCAGACUAGAGUGCUGUAGGGGAGACUGGAAUUCCUGGUGUAGCGGUGGAAUGCGCAGAUAUCAGGAGGAACACCGAUGGCGAAGGCAGGUCUCUGGGCAGUUACUGACGCUGAGGAGCGAAAGCAUGGGGAGCGAACAGGAU